UACGUAGGGGGCUAGCGUUGUCCGGAUUUAUUGGGCGUAAAGAGCGUGUAGGCGGCCAGGUAGGUCUGGUGUGAAAACUCGAGGCUUAACCUCGAGAUGUCAUCGGAAACCAUCUGGCUAGAGUCCGGAAGAGGAGAGUGGAAUUCCUGGUGUAGCGGUGAAAUGCGCAGAUAUCAGGAAGAACACCAAUGGCGAAGGCAGCUCGCUGGGACGGUACUGACGCUAAGGCGCGAAAGCGUGGGGAGCAACAGG
Molecule: ribosomal RNA, 252 nt
Filed under: uncultured bacterium
Lineage: Bacteria
Description: partial 16S ribosomal RNA
Rfam family: Bacterial small subunit ribosomal RNA
Source: RNAcentral